ACGAACGCUGGCGGCGUGCUUAACACAUGCAAGUCGAACGGUGAAGGGGUCUGCUUUUGUGGGCCCUGGAUGAGUGGCGAACGGGUGAGUAACACGUGAGUAACCUGCCCCCUUCUUCUGGAUAACCGCAUGAAAGUGUGGCUAAUACGGGAUAUUCUGGGUCUGUCGCAUGAUGGGUCUGGGAAAGAUUGCGCCUUUGGGUGUUUUUGGUGGGGGAUGGGCUCGCGGCCUAUCAGCUUGUUGGUGGGGUGAUGGCCUACCAAGGCGGUGACGGGUAGCCGGCCUGAGAGGGUGGACGGUCACACUGGGACUGAGACACGGCCCAGACUCCUACGGGAGGCAGCAGUGGGGAAUAUUGCACAAUGGGCGCAAGCCUGAUGCAGCGACGCCGCGUGAGGGAUGGAGGCCUUCGGGUUGUAAACCUCUUUCGACAGUGAAGCAGGCCUGCUCCGUGUGGGUGGGUUGACGGUAGCUGGAUAAGAAGCGCCGGCUAACUACGUG
RNAcentral lists this ribosomal RNA (501 nucleotides) under uncultured bacterium. Its description in RNAcentral is "partial 16S ribosomal RNA". It matches the Rfam family "Bacterial small subunit ribosomal RNA", at positions 29 to 507 of the family's 1533-position model. The record is from RNAcentral.